Molecule: non-coding RNA, 25 nt
Filed under: Mus musculus (house mouse)
Lineage: Eukaryota; Metazoa; Chordata; Mammalia; Rodentia; Muridae
Source: RNAcentral
CGGCCUACCGACUGUUACCCAGCUC